AGACUGGGAUAACUCCGGGAAACCGGGGCUAAUACCGGAUAACAUUUUGCACCGCAUGGUGCGAAAUUCAAAGGCGGCUUCGGCUGUCACUUAUGGAUGGACCCGCGUCGCAUUAGCUAGUUGGUGAGGUAACGGCUCACCAAGGCAACGAUGCGUAGCCGACCUGAGAGGGUGAUCGGCCACACUGGGACUGAGACACGGCCCAGACUCCUACGGGAGGCAGCAGUAGGGAAUCUUCCGCAAUGGACGAAAGUCUGACGGAGCAACGCCGCGUGAGUGAUGAAGGCUUUCGGGUCGUAAAACUCUGUUGUUAGGGAAGAACAAGUGCUAGUUGAAUAAGCUGGCACCUUGACGGUACCUAACCAGAAAGCCACGGCUAACUACGUGCCAGCAGCCGCGGUAAUACGUAGGUGGCAAGCGUUAUCCGGAAUUAUUGGGCGUAAAGCGCGCGCAGGUGGUUUCUUAAGUCUGAUGUGAAAGCCCACGGCUCAACCGUGGAGGGUCAUUGGAAACUGGGAGACUUGAGUGCAGAAGAGGAAAGUGGAAUUCCAU
Molecule: ribosomal RNA, 552 nt
Filed under: Bacillus cereus
Lineage: Bacteria; Bacillati; Bacillota; Bacilli; Caryophanales; Bacillaceae
Description: bacterial SSU rRNA
Rfam family: Bacterial small subunit ribosomal RNA
Source: RNAcentral